This 450-nucleotide ribosomal RNA is filed under the name uncultured bacterium. RNAcentral describes it as "bacterial SSU rRNA". It matches the Rfam family "Bacterial small subunit ribosomal RNA", at positions 354 to 796 of the family's 1533-position model. The record is from RNAcentral.
GUGAGGAAUUUUGCGCAAUAGGGGAAACCCUGACGCAGCAACGCCGCGUGAGUGAAGAAGGCCUUCGGGUCGUAAAGCUCUGUCAAGUGGGAAAAAAGUCAACUAGUGAAUAGCUGGUUGGCCUGAUGGUACCACUAGAGGAAGCACCGGCUAACUCCGUGCCAGCAGCCGCGGUAAUACGGAGGGUGCAAGCGUUGUUCGGAAUUAUUGGGCGUAAAGCGCGUGUAGGCGGUUUGGUAAGUCAGAUGUGAAAGCCCUGGGCUUAACCCAGGAAGUGCAUUUGAAACUGCCAUACUCGAGUAUGGGAGAGGAGAGUGGAAUUCCCAGUGUAGAGGUGAAAUUCGUAGAUAUUGGGAGGAACACCCGUGGCGAAGGCGACUCUCUGGACCAAUACUGACGCUGAGACGCGAAAGCGUGGGGAGCAAACAGGAUUAGAAACCCCUGUAGUCC